Molecule: ribosomal RNA, 465 nt
Filed under: uncultured Klebsiella sp.
Lineage: Bacteria; Pseudomonadati; Pseudomonadota; Gammaproteobacteria; Enterobacterales; Enterobacteriaceae
Description: bacterial SSU rRNA
Rfam family: Bacterial small subunit ribosomal RNA
Source: RNAcentral
CCUACGGGCGGCUGCAGUGGGGAAUAUUGCACAAUGGGCGCAAGCCUGAUGCAGCCAUGCCGCGUGUGUGAAGAAGGCCUUCGGGUUGUAAAGCACUUUCAGCGGGGAGGAAGGCGUUAAGGUUAAUAACCUUGGCGAUUGACGUUACCCGCAGAAGAAGCACCGGCUAACUCCGUGCCAGCAGCCGCGGUAAUACGGAGGGUGCAAGCGUUAAUCGGAAUUACUGGGCGUAAAGCGCACGCAGGCGGUCUGUCAAGUCGGAUGUGAAAUCCCCGGGCACAACCUGGGAACUGCAUUCGAAACUGGCAGGCUAGAGUCUUGUAGAGGGGGGUAGAAUUCCAGGUGUAGCGGUGAAAUGCGUAGAGAUCUGGAGGAAUACCGGUGGCGAAGGCGGCCCCCUGGACAAAGACCGACGCUCAGGUGCGAAAGCGUGGGGAGCAAACAGGAUUAGAUACCCGGGUAGUC